UACGUAGGGACCAAGCGUUGUUCGGAUUCAUUGGGCGUAAAGGGUGCGUAGGCGGCGCGGUAAGUCGGGUGUGAAAUCUCGGGGCUUAACUCCGAAACUGCAUUCGAUACUGCCGUGCUUGAGGACUGGAGAGGAGACUGGAAUUUACGGUGUAGCGGUGAAAAUGCGUAGAUAUCGUAAGGAAGACCAGUGGCGAAGGCGGGUCUCUGGACAGUUCCUGACGCUGAGGCACGAAGGCCAGGGGAGCAAACGGG
Molecule: ribosomal RNA, 254 nt
Filed under: uncultured bacterium
Lineage: Bacteria
Description: partial 16S ribosomal RNA
Rfam family: Bacterial small subunit ribosomal RNA
Source: RNAcentral